Molecule: long non-coding RNA, 973 nt
Organism: Homo sapiens (human)
Lineage: Eukaryota; Metazoa; Chordata; Mammalia; Primates; Hominidae
Gene: EPIC1
Product: epigenetically induced MYC interacting lncRNA 1
Source: Ensembl
CAGUCCGCCAUUGCAAACACGAAGCUCUUCCAGAAACGCCCUCACAGACACCCCGGAAGUCACGUACCCACUCUGUAGGUGCCCCGGGGCACAGGCAAGCGGACGAGCCAGUUAUCCCUCAGAGCUCCUGCUGCCUCGCCCGCUUUCUCUCGGAAACGUGAAGUGUGGCCUCAGCUGAAAGUGAGGUGGGCCUCAUUCAAUCAGUUGAAUUCUUCAAGAGAGAAAAACUGAAGUCCCUUAGAAGGAAAGAGUUCUGCCUUCAGACUGUCUUUGAACUUAAGACUGUAGCGUCGACUCCUGCCGGAAUUUCCAGCCUGCUGGCCAGCUCUGCAGAUUCACACUUGCCAGCCUCCACAAUCGAAGGCAGCCAUCUGUGAGCCAGAAAGUGAGCCCUCACCUGAUGGCCAAGCCUGCUGAUGCUUUGGUUUUGGACUUUCCAGCCUCCAGAAUGGAGAGGUGAAAGGGGGAGAGGCUGAAAAGUACAUGAAGAAAUAAUGGCUGAAAAUGACCCAAAUUGUUAAGAUACAUAAACCUGCAGAUUCAAGAAGCUGAAAGAUGCUCCAACAGGAUAAACCUAAAGAAAUCUAUGCCAACAUGCAUCAUAAUUAAACUUCUGCAAAGCAAAAAACAAAACAUUUCUGAAAACAGCCAGGGGAAAAGAACACCCAACCUGGAAGGGAAAAACAAUUCGAAUGACAGUGGAUUUGUCAUCAGAAACCAUGGAAGCCAGGAGGAAAUGACACAAUAUUUUUCAGCUACUAAGAGCAAAAAACUGUCAUCCCAAAAUUCUAUACCCAUAAAAAUAUCUUUCAAGAAGGAAGGAGAAAUGAAGACAUUCUCAGAUGAAGGAAAACUGAGAGAAUGUAUCAGCAGCAGACCUAUCCUAACAAAAUAGCUAAAAAGAGUUCUCUAAACAGAAAGGAAAUGAUAAAAAGGAACCUUACAACAUCAAGAAGAAAAAAUGAUGAGCAAA